This 348-nucleotide ribosomal RNA is filed under the name uncultured Chloroflexota bacterium. RNAcentral describes it as "bacterial SSU rRNA". It matches the Rfam family "Bacterial small subunit ribosomal RNA", at positions 1017 to 1382 of the family's 1533-position model. Lineage: Bacteria; Bacillati; Chloroflexota. The record is from RNAcentral.
UUAAGUCAGGAGCCGUCACAGGUGCUGCAUGGCUGUCGUCAGCUCGUGCCGUGAGGUGUAUGGUUAAGUCCUGCAACGAGCGCAACCCUCGUCGCUAGUUGAUUUCUCUAGCGAGACUGCCCCGCAAAACGGGAGGAAGGUGGGGAUGACGUCAAGUCAGCAUGGCCUUUAUAUCUUGGGCUACACACACGCUACAAUGGAUGGCACAAUAGGUUGCAACAGCGCGAGCUGAAGCUAAUCCCCAAAGCCAUCCUCAGUACAGAUUGCAGGCUGAAACCCGCCUGCAUGAAGUCGGAGUUGCUAGUAACCGCAAAUCAGCAUGUUGCGGUGAAUACGUUCUCGGGCCUU